This 544-nucleotide ribosomal RNA is filed under the name Trinectes maculatus (hogchoker). RNAcentral's name for it is "partial 16S ribosomal RNA". It matches the Rfam family "Bacterial large subunit ribosomal RNA", at positions 1851 to 2587 of the family's 2925-position model. The record is from RNAcentral. Lineage: Eukaryota; Metazoa; Chordata; Actinopteri; Pleuronectiformes; Achiridae.
GGUCCCGCCUGCCCACUGAUAUUAUAUUCAACGGCCGCGGUAUUUUGACCGUGCUAAGGUAGCGUAAUCACUUGUCUUUUAAAUGAAGACCCGUAUGAAAGGCUUGACGAAGGCUUAACUGUCUCCUCUUUCCAGUCAAUGAAACUGAUCUCCCCGUGCAGACGCGGGGAUAAAAACAUAAGACGAGAAGACCCUAUGGAGCUUUAGACACAAAGACAGACUAUUUUAAACACCCCUAAACAAGCACUAAAUCUAGUAAGAACCUGUCCCCGUCUUAGGUUGGGGCGACCCUGGGGAAAUAAAAAACCCCCAUGUGGAGGGAGGACCUACCACUUACACCCUCUCAAAAACCCGAAACACAAUUCUAAUUAACAGAACUCUGACCAAACUGAUCNGCCAAAGCCGAUUAACGANACAAGUUACCCUAGGGAUAACAGCGCUAUCCCCUUUUAAAGUCCAUAUAGACAAGGGGGUUUACGACCUCGAUGUUGGAUCAGNACAUCCUAAUGGUGCAGCCGCUAUUAAGGGUUCGUUUGUUCAACGA